Long non-coding RNA from Nannospalax galili (Upper Galilee mountains blind mole rat), 482 nucleotides. RefSeq lists it as uncharacterized. The record is from RefSeq and is a predicted model, not a curated record. The transcript has 3 exons. Lineage: Eukaryota; Metazoa; Chordata; Mammalia; Rodentia; Spalacidae.
AUCGAAAAGGAUCCAGUCUCUGUCUUCUGGAACAUCUUGGAGGUGACUUCGGUCCUCAGACCUCGUGGGCUGUCCAGGGCCCGGAUGUCCAAGUUGGAGCGAAUGCGCUAGAGGAUGACAGGUGCCUGUGGCAUCCAGGUGGCAUUUCUCAUCAUUGCGGUUCAUGAUGCCAGCCAGCACAUUGACACCAUCAGCUUCAUAGUGGAAAGCAGACUCGGUGGAAAACACCAGCAGGGUCCUCAAGCAUGAACUUUGUAGAUGACAAUGUCUUGUCUCAGUGUCAAAAGGUUGGCCAUGACUGUGAGGACUUACAAAUGUUCCCAUCUGUCAAGACCCCUGUGACAAGCCACAGCUACCAUACACUGCCAGGGGACUAUGCCUGUCUUGUUUAUCGCCUACUAAAAGGCCCAGCACACUUGAGGACUCCAGUGACCUGAUACAAGGCCAGGUACACAGUAGAUUCUCAGCAAACGAAUGUGGAA